This 467-nucleotide ribosomal RNA is filed under the name uncultured bacterium. RNAcentral describes it as "partial 16S ribosomal RNA". It matches the Rfam family "Bacterial small subunit ribosomal RNA", at positions 28 to 506 of the family's 1533-position model. The record is from RNAcentral.
GACGAACGCUGGCGGCGUGCUUUACACAUGCAAGUCGAACGGAAAGGCCCUGCUUUUGUGGGGUGCUCGAGUGGCGAACGGGUGAGUAACACGUGAGUAACCUGCCCUUGACUUUGGGAUAACUUCAGGAAACUGGGGCUAAUACCGGAUAGGAGCUCCUGCUGCAUGGUGGGGGUUGGAAAGUUUCGGCGGUUGGGGAUGGACUCGCGGCUUAUCAGCUUGUUGGUGGGGUAGUGGCUUACCAAGGCUUUGACGGGUAGCCGGCCUGAGAGGGUGACCGGCCACAUGGGGACGGAGAUACGGCCCAGACUCCUACGGGAGGCAGCAGUGGGGAAUAUUGCACAAUGGGCGGAAGCCUGAUGCAGCAACGCCGCGUGCGGGAUGACGGCCUUCGGGUUGUAAACCGCUUUCGCCUGUGACGAAGCGUGAGUGACGGUAAUGGGUAAAGAAGCACCGGCUAACUACGU